This is a non-coding RNA of Cordylochernes scorpioides, 79 nucleotides long. The record is from the annotation of a GenBank genome assembly. NCBI's taxonomy places the organism in Eukaryota, Metazoa, Arthropoda, Arachnida, Pseudoscorpiones, Chernetidae.
UGAGCCUGCCAGGAUUCGAACCUGGAAUCUUCUGAUCCCUAGUCAGAAAUGUUGCACCAAGUGCCCACGAUACACACCA